AGUGAACGCUGGCGGUAGGCCUAACACAUGCAAGUCGAACGGCAGCACAGUAAGAGCUUGCUCUUACGGGUGGCGAGUGGCGGACGGGUGAGGAAUACAUCGGAAUCUACUUUUUCGUGGGGGAUAACGUAGGGAAACUUACGCUAAUACCGCAUACGACCUACGGGUGAAAGCAGUGGAUCUUCGGACCUUGCGCGAUUGAAUUAGCCGAUGUCGGAUUAGCUAGUUGGCGGGGUAAAGGCCCACCAAGGCGACGAUCCGUAGCUGGUCUGAGAGGAUGAUCAGCCACACUGGAACUGAGACACGGUCCAGACUCCUACGGGAGGCAGCAGUGGGGAAUAUUGGACAAUGGGCGCAAGCCUGAUCCAGCCAUACCGCGUGGGUGAAGAAGGCCUUCGGGUUGUAAAGCCCUUUUGUUGGGAAAGAAAAGCAGCAGGUUAAUACACCGCUGUUUUGACGGUACCCAAAGAAUAAGCACCGGCUAACUUCGUG
Molecule: ribosomal RNA, 492 nt
Filed under: uncultured bacterium
Lineage: Bacteria
Description: partial 16S ribosomal RNA
Rfam family: Bacterial small subunit ribosomal RNA
Source: RNAcentral